GACGAACGCUGGCGGCGUGCUUAACACAUGCAAGUCGAACGGAAAGGCCCUGCUUUUGUGGGGUGCUCGAGUGGCGAACGGGUGAGUAACACGUGAGUAACCUGCCCUUGACUUUGGGAUAACUUCAGGAAACUGGGGCUAAUACCGGAUAGGAGCUCCUGCUGCAUGGUGGGGGUGGGAAAGUUUCGGCGGUUGGGGAUGGACUCGCGGCUUAUCAGCUUGUUGGUGGGGUAGUGGUUUACCAAGGCUUUGACGGGUAGCCGGCCUGAGAGGGUGACCGGCGACAUUGGGACUGAGAUACGGCCCAGACUCCUACGGGAGGCAGCAGUGGGGAAUAUUGCACAAUGGGCGGAAGCCUGAUGAAGCAACGCCGCGUGCGGGAUGACGGCCUUCGGGUUGUAAACCGCUUUCGCCUGUGACGAAGCGUGAGUGACGGUAAUGGGUAAAGAAGCACCGGCUAACUACGUG
This 468-nucleotide ribosomal RNA is filed under the name uncultured bacterium. Its description in RNAcentral is "partial 16S ribosomal RNA". It matches the Rfam family "Bacterial small subunit ribosomal RNA", at positions 28 to 507 of the family's 1533-position model. The record is from RNAcentral.